This 268-nucleotide ribosomal RNA is filed under the name Lepidotrigona ventralis. Its description in RNAcentral is "partial large subunit ribosomal RNA". The record is from RNAcentral. Lineage: Eukaryota; Metazoa; Arthropoda; Insecta; Hymenoptera; Apidae.
UAUAGAAUUUUAUAUUAACUUUACCUAGCGGUUAAUGCUGGUUUUUUGUUAAUAUUUGGUUGGGAGGAUUAUUAAAUUUAACAAACUUUAUAUCAUUAUAAACUUUGAUUUAAGAAAAUAUAAUGAUCUUCAAUUUGAAAUAGUUAGAGUAAAUUACCUUAGGGAUAACAGCGUAAUAUUUUUUUAUAGACCUUAUAGAAAAAAAUGGUUGCGACCUCGAUGUUGAAUUAAGAUAAAUUUUAAAUGCAGGAGUUUAAUAAUUAAGUCU